GAUACUAAGCCAUGCGAGUCAUUGUAGCAAUACAAGGCAUACGGCUCAGUAACGCGUAGUCAACCUAACCUAUGGACGGGAAUAACCUCGGGAAACUGAGAAUAAUGCCCGAUAGAACAUUAUGCCUGGAAUGGUUUAUGUUCCAAAUGAUUUAUCGCCGUAGGAUGGGACUGCGGCCUAUCAGUUUGUUGGUGAGGUAAUGGCCCACCAAGACUAUUACAGGUACGGGCUCUGAGAGGAGUAGCCCGGAGAUGGGUACUGAGACACGGACCCAGGUCCUAUGGGGCGCAGCAGGCGAGAAAACUUUGCAAUGUGCGAAAGCACGACAAGGUUAAUCCGAGUGGUUUCUGCUAAAGAAACCUUUUGUCAGUCCUAGAAACACUGAUGAAUAAGGGGUGGGCAAGUUCUGGUGUCAGCCGCCGCGGUAAAACCAGCACCUCAAGUGGUCAGGAUGAUUAUUGGGCCUAAAGCAUCCGUAGCCGGCUCUGUAAGUUUUCGGUUAAAUCUGUACGCUCAACGUACAGGCUGCCGGGAAUACUGCAGAGCUAGGGAGUGGGAGAGGUAGACGGUACUCGGUAGGAAGGGGUAAAAUCCUUUGAUCUAUUGAUGACCACCUGUGGCGAAGGCGGUCUACCAGAACACGUCCGACGGUGAGGGAUGAAAGCUGGGGGAGCAAACCGGAUUAGAUACCCGGGUAGUCCCAGCUGUAAACUAUGCAAACUCAGUGAUGCAUUGGCUUGUGGCCAAUGCAGUGCUGCAGGGAAGCCGUUAA
Molecule: ribosomal RNA, 772 nt
Filed under: uncultured crenarchaeote SB95_20
Lineage: Archaea; Thermoproteati; Thermoproteota
Description: bacterial SSU rRNA
Rfam family: Archaeal small subunit ribosomal RNA
Source: RNAcentral